UAGCUGUGGAGGAAAUUUGGG
Molecule: unclassified non-coding RNA, 21 nt
Filed under: Mus musculus (house mouse)
Lineage: Eukaryota; Metazoa; Chordata; Mammalia; Rodentia; Muridae
Description: oocyte_clustered_small_RNA3456
Source: RNAcentral